Molecule: non-coding RNA, 73 nt
Organism: Nematostella vectensis (starlet sea anemone)
Lineage: Eukaryota; Metazoa; Cnidaria; Anthozoa; Actiniaria; Edwardsiidae
Source: Rfam
GGCCUUGUCGCCCAAUGGAUAAGGCGCCUGACUACGGAUCAGGAGAUUCUACGUUCGAGUCCUGGCAGGGUCG